This 575-nucleotide long non-coding RNA is filed under the name Homo sapiens (human). RNAcentral's name for it is "non-protein coding lnc-CRYBA4-52:40". Lineage: Eukaryota; Metazoa; Chordata; Mammalia; Primates; Hominidae. The record is from RNAcentral.
AGUUCUGCGCUGUGAGCCGGGGCACAAAGAGCCCUCUGCACUAGCGCCGCAGGACCGCGGACCCGAGAGAGCAGCAAGUUCCUGGGACAGAGGAGACAGAAGGGAAUUUCCAGGUUCUUCAGGACGUUCACAACCACACUGAGAAGCAUCUUUGCAGAUAAGUAUUUAAACUUACCAGCCCAUAGCCUACCAGCCUGCCCUCUUCUGGUCUGUGCAGGAAAGUGUAGUAUCCUAGAAUGCCAAAGUGGGAGGGGAAAUGGGUGAUGUAGCUCAUUCUCUUUUCUACCUCUAUGGAAGAAAGAAAGAGCCUGUCCCCAUUUUGUGGGGUCCCAGAAAGGGUGAUUUUCACACUUCACAUUUGGCGUUAGGGCUAGUAUUUCACAAACAUUACCGUCUGGAACUUUUGAAGGCUGAGUUAAAUGACUUCAUCUUGUGUACUUGUAGAACUGCUAUUAGAAGGAGGCUGGGGACUCCCUGAUGAUGUGAACCAGCCCUUCUCUUCUCAGUUUCAGCACUUUGUGAUCAUAUUUAUAAACCUUGGACAGGGCUCCUUGGCCUUAGAGUUAAGUGAAGAG